Long non-coding RNA from Mauremys mutica (yellowpond turtle), 788 nucleotides. RefSeq lists it as uncharacterized. The record is from RefSeq and is a predicted model, not a curated record. The transcript is spliced from 3 exons. Lineage: Eukaryota; Metazoa; Chordata; Testudines; Geoemydidae.
UGCAAUUGAAGAGGCCCAUUCUUUAUUUCUUUAAUGACUAACACCCCAAAUUUCUUUUUCUUCUUCUCCAGGGUCUCAAGCUUCCUAGUAAUUACUGGAAUCACCUUUUUCUAAAAUGGAGUGGAGUUUUUACUUUCUAUAAAGGAGCUAUUGGGUUAGGUUUGCUUGCUCAUGAAGGAGAAAAAAAUCUAACUGCUCUUUUCCUAUCAUCCAAGUUAGAAGAGUCUGGGAGCAAAGUAAUAGCCUUUAUGCCAGACCUCCUGCAGAAAUGCCUUCCAGUUGUGAUAUUCUCCAAAACACAGUUUUGCUUGUUCAUAGCCUGAAAACUCUUGGCCUUAUGUGGAGAGAUACUGAGGACCCACAGCUCCCAUUGAAGUCAAGGUGAGGUCCCUAUGCUAUGUUCAUCCCUGUGGUAUCUAGGCACCUGAUGCUACUCAUGGAAUUCUCACUGGCAUCAGAGAUCUGCACUGUACGAAAUCCACAAUGUGGACUGAAGAGAAGAACGUUGAGUAACUGGUAAAUAGUCAUUUGCAAAGAGGCGUGGUCGCCCUCGGAGAUUAACAGCGAGGGACAGCCAGAGGCCCUCUGGUGGGCGGAACCAGAGAGGCCAUGUUCACCAUACCAGAAGCAGAGGGGCAGGACAGGAACAGGAUCUAUAAAAGGUGGGACCUAUAGCUCAGUUGGGCUGGAGCUGCCAGGGAAGACAGAUGCAUCUAGCUGCACCAAGGACUGGCGAGUGCUCCCAGACCUGCUGACUGAUGGAGAUGCUGAGGAACUGCCUCCUGAGG